CGCGUAGGUGGCUUGUCAGGUCCGGUGUGAAAUCCUGGGGCUCAACUCCAGGCGUGCAUCGGAAACCGGCUUGCUAGAGUCUGGGAGAGGAGAGUGGAAUUCCUGGUGUAGCGGUGAAAUGCGUAGAUAUCAGGAGGAACACCGGUAGCGAAGGCGGCUCUCUGGAACAGUACUGACACUGAGGCGCGAAAGCUAGGGGAGCGAACA
Molecule: ribosomal RNA, 207 nt
Filed under: uncultured bacterium
Lineage: Bacteria
Description: partial 16S ribosomal RNA
Rfam family: Bacterial small subunit ribosomal RNA
Source: RNAcentral